GAACUUAUUACUCUACUGCUCUGCUAUACGUACAGUGAAAUCCCUGUGCCAUAGAUCUCUCUCCUUUUUGCUCUCGUUUUCUCAAGCCCUAGGUUUCUUUCUCUAGGUUUCCACUUUCUUGUUGUUUGUUGUUGUUUAUUAAGGUUCACGUUACGUGUUGAAUGUGUUUCCACUGCUUUAGGGGUUUGGUGGAUUUAGGGAUUUGCUGGAUGUGAAAUUGUGGGUUUCAUUUCAUAAAGGGGAACAUUUUCAUUAGUUGCUUAUUUUGAGCCAGUGAUUCUUAAUUAUUGUUAUCUUGGUGGUUUUGUUGGUUGGGGUUUUUGGGGGAAGAUAAGGUUUUGGUGUGGUGAUAUUCUAGUCUUUUUUAUGUUUUUUGGAACUGUGAGUUACUGGAUUUGAUAAAGGAUUGACAUUUUAUAGCAAAUGAGUAGUCAUGAGUUGUCCGUGAUUGUGGAGUUUUGACUGUUUGGUUGUUGUGAAGUGUAAUAUUGAAUUGAAUAUUGUUUUAUUCAUUUGAUUGUGCUGCUGCAAAAAGAGGAUUGAUAGAAUUUGGAGUUACAUAGCGUAGAUUCUUUUCUUUAUUUCUCUACGGAAUAUUAUUUGGUUGUGUUUGAUGAAAAUGGGAAAGGAAGAAGAGUAUAGGAUUGUUAAAAUGAGAAAUUUGAAGAGUAAUUAUUGAUUCUAAAGCAGGGUGUUGUAGCUUGUAGGAGGUGGUUUUUGCGCAUAAUGGGAUGCAUUUGCUCUAAACCCUCUGCAAUUGAGGAUAGCAAAGAGAGCCCAAGAGAGCGGCUCACUAGCGAAGCCUCAUCAGACUUGCGGGUAUCAAGGGCCACCUCUUCUAGGAGGGAGGAAGCAUAUAGAGCGAAAGAUCGAUAUGAUAGUAAUGAUGGAAGGGCAAUGUUGAUUGAUAAGCACUCAAAUGGUUCAGUUAGAUUGCAUGGAGGUGAGAACGUUGAUAGAGAGAGGGAGAAGAUGGAAAAUGCUGUUGCUCAACAUCCAGGGAUGGGUAGUAUACCAAAAGCGACUGAAGGGGAGCAGGUUGCAGCGGGAUGGCCUUCCUGGCUAGCUGCAGUGGCUGGAGAGGCAAUCAGAGGAUGGCUGCCACGGCGUGCAGAUUCUUUUGAGAAGCUAGAUAA
RNAcentral lists this unclassified non-coding RNA (1136 nucleotides) under Hevea brasiliensis (rubber tree). The record is from RNAcentral. Lineage: Eukaryota; Viridiplantae; Streptophyta; Magnoliopsida; Malpighiales; Euphorbiaceae.